UGGCAACAGUGAUGACAGGAGUUUGUACCUGGAUGUGGUGUUCCCUUACUACAUGGAGACAACAGUCCCUCUAACCUGAUGUUGCCA
This is a small nucleolar RNA of Amazona collaria (yellow-billed parrot), 87 nucleotides long. Ensembl annotates it as small nucleolar RNA, C/D box 127. The record is from Ensembl. Lineage: Eukaryota; Metazoa; Chordata; Aves; Psittaciformes; Psittacidae.